GACGAACGCUGGCGGCGUGCCUAAUACAUGCAAGUCGAACGCAGUGGGGACGGGUGAGUAACACGUGGGUAACCUCCCCAUCAGAGGGGAUAACACUUUGAAACAUGUGCUAAACCCAUACUGAUGGCUGGCCCCGCGGUGAAUUAGCUAGUCGGCGAGGUAACGGCUCACCAAGGCAACGAUGCGUAGCCGGCCUGAAAGGGUGAUCAGCGACACUGGUACUGAGACACGGCCCAGACUCCUACGGGAGGCAGCAUUAGGGAAUCUUUGGCAAGGGGCGAAAGACUGACCGAGCAAUGACGCGUGAGUGAAGAAGGUUUUCGGAUCGUAAAGCUCUGUUGUUAGAGAAGCGAUAUCUGACCAAAAAGCCCCGGCUAACUACGUGCCAGCAGCCGCGGUAAUAC
RNAcentral lists this ribosomal RNA (404 nucleotides) under uncultured bacterium. RNAcentral describes it as "partial 16S ribosomal RNA". It matches the Rfam family "Bacterial small subunit ribosomal RNA", at positions 28 to 526 of the family's 1533-position model. The record is from RNAcentral.